RNAcentral lists this ribosomal RNA (493 nucleotides) under Aethaloptera dispar. Its description in RNAcentral is "partial 28S ribosomal RNA". The record is from RNAcentral. Lineage: Eukaryota; Metazoa; Arthropoda; Insecta; Trichoptera; Hydropsychidae.
AUCAGGGGUAAACCUGUGGAACUCGAACGAACGAACGGGGAGAUUCAUCGUAUUUCCAUAUAUUAUCGUUUCAUUAUAAUGUAUUCGCGUGUACGUUGGUGUCGCAUUCGUGUGGCAUUUAAUGUUUAUACGUUGUAUAUGUUGUUUUGUUUAAGCGAAUGGAAUGCGUGCACUUCUCCCUUAGUAAAACAUCGUGACCCGUUCAUUUAUGAUCGAACGCGUCGUGCAGUUGUCCCGUUUUGAACGUUAAAAAUUCGGAAUGGAGCUGCGAUGUCGCGAUCAUGAGUAUGGACGGUAAAUGAAAAGGUUCACCUUCGCUCGCUCGAGCGUCCGUAUAUUGAACCGUGUCGGCCUCGUAUGAACUUCAACGUUAUGCGUUGUAGGUUUUGUACGGUUUAGUUUGUUGGCAUGUGUUGUGAUAUUGUUCUCGGACAGAAGGUGUUCCGGUCAACGAUGGUUUUGUUUCGGGCACUCACAGGACCCGUCUUGAAAC